CCUACGGGUGGCAGCAGUGGGGAAUAUUGCACAAUGGGGGAAACCCUGAUGCAGCGACGCCGCGUGAGUGAAGAAGUAUCUCGGUACGUAAAGCUCUAUCAGCAGGGAAGAAAAUGACGAUACCUGACUAAGAAGCCCCGGCUAACUACGAUCCAGCAACCGCGGUAAUACGUAGGGGGCACGCGUUAUCCGGAUUUACUGGGUGUAAAGGGAGCGUAGACGGCAGCACAAGUCUGGAGUGAAAUCCCGGGGCUUAACCCUGGAACUGCUUUGGAAACUGUGCGGCUGGAGUGCAGGAGAGGUAAGCGGAAUUCCUUGUGUAGCGGUGAAAUGCGUAGAGAUUAGGAGGAACACCGGUGGCGAAGGCGGCUUACUGGACUGUAACUGACGUUGAGGCUCGAAAGCGUGGGGAGCAAACAGGAUUAGAUACCCGAGUAGUC
RNAcentral lists this ribosomal RNA (440 nucleotides) under uncultured bacterium. RNAcentral describes it as "partial 16S ribosomal RNA". It matches the Rfam family "Bacterial small subunit ribosomal RNA", at positions 338 to 795 of the family's 1533-position model. The record is from RNAcentral.